UCUCCGUUGGUGAACCAGCGGAGGGAUCAUUACCGAGUUUACAACUCCCAAACCCCUAUGUGAACGUUUCCAAACUGUUGCUUCGGCGAAAAAUCCAUGCCCCGGGCGCGCCGCAGCCCCGCACCAAGGCCCCCGCCGAAGGCCCAACCAAGACACUUUUGUACGUCCCUCGCGGACUUUUAUAAUUCUGAAUCAUCUCGGCGCCCCUAGCGGGCGUUUUGAAAAUGAAUCAAAACUUUCAACAACGGAUCUCUUGGUUCUG
This 262-nucleotide unclassified non-coding RNA is filed under the name plant metagenome. RNAcentral's name for it is "partial contains small subunit ribosomal RNA, internal transcribed spacer 1, and 5.8S ribosomal RNA". The record is from RNAcentral.